AAGCAACGCGAAGAACCUUACCAGGUCUUGACAUCCUCUGACAACCCUAGAGAUAAGGCGUUCCCUUCGGGGACAGAGUGACAGGUGGCGCAUGGUUGUCGUCAGCUCGUGUCGUGAGAUGUUGGGUUAAGUCCCGCAACGAGCGCAACCCUUGAUCUUAGUUGCCAGCAUUUAGUUGGGCACUCUAAGGUGACUGCCGGUGACAAACCGGAGGAAGGUGGGGAUGACGUCAAAUCAUCAUGCCCCUUAUGACCUGGGCUACACACGUGCUACAAUGGAUGGAACAAAGGGCAGCAAAACCGCGAGGUCUAGCUAAUCCCAUAAAACCAUUCUCAGUUCGGAUUGCAGGCUGCAACUCGCCUGCAUGAAGCCGGAAUCGCUAGUAAUCGCGGAUCAGCAUGCCGCGGUGAAUACGUUCCCGGGCCUUGUACACACCGCCCGUCACACCACGAGAGUUUGUAACACCCGAAGUCGGU
Molecule: ribosomal RNA, 476 nt
Filed under: Virgibacillus sp. m2-18
Lineage: Bacteria; Bacillati; Bacillota; Bacilli; Caryophanales; Bacillaceae
Description: bacterial SSU rRNA
Rfam family: Bacterial small subunit ribosomal RNA
Source: RNAcentral